GACGAACGCUGGCGGCGUGCCUAAUACAUGCAAGUAGAACGCUGAAGGAGGAGCUUGCUCUUCUGGAUGAGUUGCGAACGGGUGAGUAACGCGUAGGUAACCUGCUGGUAGCGGGGGAUAACUAUUGGAAACGAUAGCUAAUACCGCAUAAAAUUGAUUAUUGCAUGAUAGUCAAUUAAAAGGUGCAAUUGCAUCACUACCAGAUGGACCUGCGUUGUAUUAGCUAGUUGGUGAGGUAACGGCUCACCAAGGCAACGAUACAUAGCCGACCUGAGAGGGUGAUCGGCCACACUGGGACUUGGACACGGCCCAGACUCCUACGGGAGGCAGCAGUAGGGAAUCUUCGGCAAUGGACGGAAGUCUGACCGAGCAACGCCGCGUGAGUGAAGAAGGUUUUCGGAUCGUAAAGCUCUGAUGUAAGAGAAGAACGAGUGUGAGAGUGGAAAGUUCACACUGUGACGGUAUCUUACCAGAAAGGGACGGCUAACUACGUG
RNAcentral lists this ribosomal RNA (494 nucleotides) under uncultured bacterium. RNAcentral's name for it is "partial 16S ribosomal RNA". It matches the Rfam family "Bacterial small subunit ribosomal RNA", at positions 28 to 507 of the family's 1533-position model. The record is from RNAcentral.